GUGAACAUACCUGUUGCCUCGGCGGGCCUACCCUAUAGUCCCUCGGNGCUACCCGGGAGUGACCGCCGAAGGUCCAAUAAACUCUUUUAUCUCUGUAUCUCUGAGCAAAAAAACAAAUAAGUUAAAACUUUCAACAACGGAUCUCUUGGUUCUGGCAUCGAUGAAGAACGCAGCGAAAUGCGAUAAGUAAUGUGAAUUGCAGAAUUCAGUGAAUCAUCGAAUCUUUGAACGCACAUUGCGCCCAUUAGUAUUCUAGUGGGCAUGCCUGUUCGAGCGUCAUUUAGUCCACUUAAGCCUUUGCUUAGUAUUGGGAAUCUACUUUUCGUGGGAGCUACCCUGUAGCUACCCUGUAGUCCCUCAAAGACAGCGGCGGAGUCGUGGUUUUACUCUGAGCUUAGUAAUUUUUUUCUAGCUUUCGAGUUGCCACUGCCCCCUUGCCGUAAAACACCCUUUAUUUUUUAAUGGUUGACCUCGGAUCAGGUAGGAAUACCCGCUGAACUUAAGCAUAUCAAUAAGCGGAGGAAAAGAAACCAACAGGGAUUGCCCCAGUAACGGCGAGUGAAGCGGCAACAGCUCAAAUUUGAAAUCUGGCCUUCUGGUCCGAGUUGUAAUUUGUAGAAGAUGCUUUUGGUGCGGUGCCUUCCGAGUUCCCUGGAACGGGACGCCUUAGAGGGUGAGAGCCCCGUACGGUUGGACGCCUAGCCUCUGUAAAGCUCUUUCAACGAGUCGAGUAGUUUGGGAAUGCUGCUCAAAAUGGGAGGUAAAUUUCUUCUAAAGCU
Molecule: ribosomal RNA, 779 nt
Filed under: uncultured fungus
Lineage: Eukaryota; Fungi
Description: eukaryotic LSU rRNA
Rfam family: Eukaryotic large subunit ribosomal RNA (bases 467-779)
Source: RNAcentral